This 584-nucleotide ribosomal RNA is filed under the name uncultured organism. RNAcentral's name for it is "bacterial SSU rRNA". It matches the Rfam family "Bacterial small subunit ribosomal RNA", at positions 49 to 606 of the family's 1533-position model. The record is from RNAcentral.
UAACACAUGCAAGUCGAACGAGAAAGCCUGUCUCGGGUAGGAGAGUAAAGUGGCGCACGGGUGAGUAACGCGUGGGUACCUGCCCCUGAAUCGGGAUAGGGCCGCGAAAGCGGUGCUAAUACCGAAUGUCGUCACAGGGACCGUGGUCCCUGGGAUGAAAGGUGACCUCUCCAUGGAAGUUGCCGUUCGGGGAGGGGCUCGCGUACCAUUAGCUUGUUGGUGGGGUAAUGGCCUACCAAGGCUACGAUGGUUAGCUGGUCUGAGAGGAUGAUCAGCCACACUGGCACUGAGAGACGGGCCAGACUCCUACGGGAGGCAGCAGUGAGGAAUCUUGCGCAAUGGGGGAAACCCUGACGCAGCAACGCCGCGUGAGUGAAGAAGGCUUACGGGUCGUAAAGCUCUGUCAAGUGGGAAAAACGUCUUCCCAGUUAACAGCGGGAAGGCCUGAUGGUACCACUGGAGGAAGCACCGGCUAACUCCGUGCCAGCAGCCGCGGUAAUACGGAGGGUGCAAGCGUAGUUCGGAAUAACUGGGGCGUAAAGAGCGUGUAGGCGGCAAAGGUAAGUCAGGCGUGAAAGCCCUGG